UACGUAGGGGGCAAGCGUUGUCCGGAAUUACUGGGCGUAAAGGGCUCGUAGGCGGCCAACUAAGUCAGACGUGAAAUCCCCAGGCUCAACCUGGGAACUGCGUCUGAUACUGGAUGGCUUGAAUCCGGGAGAGGGAUGCAGAAUUCCAGGUGUAGCGGUGAAAUGCGUAGAUAUCUGGAGGAAUACCGGUGGCGAAGGCGGCAUCCUGGACCGGCAUUGACGCUGAGGAGCGAAAGCUAGGGGAGCAAACGGG
This 253-nucleotide ribosomal RNA is filed under the name uncultured bacterium. RNAcentral's name for it is "partial 16S ribosomal RNA". It matches the Rfam family "Bacterial small subunit ribosomal RNA", at positions 524 to 776 of the family's 1533-position model. The record is from RNAcentral.